CUGGUAAUUCAGGCGAUCGCUCUUCGGCGUAGGCCGAGGAGAGGAAAGUCCGGACACCCUCCCGCCAUUGGCGGGAUAAAAAGGUAGCGGCUAACAGCCGUCAUCCGCCAACCGGCGGAAGAGGUGCGAACAGAGACGGUCCGACGCGAAAGAGUCGGACGGACCCCAUCCUAACGUAGAAGGUCCAGAUCCGCUAUAGGGAUAAAAAGCGGAUGUGAAACGGCUAAAUCCUUACUGGGCGCAAGGCCGAGCCCGAACAACGCAAGUUGUUUUAGGGAGUGCCGCCAGAGGUCAACAGCAAUGUUGAUCCCAGAUAAAUGAUCGUCUCGAUCCGAUGAUUAAUCGGAUUAGACAGAAUCCGGCUUACGAAUUGCUAGCCGC
This 381-nucleotide RNase P RNA is filed under the name Candidatus Harrisonbacteria bacterium RIFCSPHIGHO2_01_FULL_44_13. RNAcentral's name for it is "RNase P RNA component class A". It matches the Rfam family "Bacterial RNase P class A". Rfam says of the family: Ribonuclease P (RNase P) is a ubiquitous endoribonuclease, found in archaea, bacteria and eukarya as well as chloroplasts and mitochondria. Its best characterised activity is the generation of mature 5'-ends of tRNAs by cleaving the 5'-leader elements of precursor-tRNAs. Cellular RNase Ps are ribonucleoproteins. RNAcentral also lists the same sequence under 2 other names. The record is from RNAcentral. Lineage: Bacteria; Candidatus Harrisoniibacteriota.